This is a long non-coding RNA of Neofelis nebulosa (Clouded leopard), 527 nucleotides long. RefSeq lists it as uncharacterized. The record is from RefSeq and is a predicted model, not a curated record. The transcript is spliced from 2 exons. NCBI's taxonomy places the organism in Eukaryota, Metazoa, Chordata, Mammalia, Carnivora, Felidae.
AUGAAAAGUCGAUCUGGGGGAAGAUUUUUAAAUAAGUGGGUCAGAGGGACCGAGAGGAGAUGAGGCGAUCAAUCUUAGCCCCCUGACAGCUCCCUCCGAUGGCAUCAAAGAAUUUGGCUCUUUGGGAAAGCCGAGGGAACAGCCGAAAUUCCACAUCCCUUUAAAAGGCCUGGGGGUGGGGGUGAUGGCAAAAGAGAAAGGUGAUUCUGGGAGAGCAGGGAAACAGAUGGGCAAUGGGGACAGAGGGAAGGACGCUGAGUUGGGUGGAAAGUUUGUGUGGAGAACUCCCACGGCUCUGGCCUCCCCUCCCCCUCCUCCUCUCGGCUGCCCAGCAAGGAGGAGAAGGCUGGUUAGCAGAGAAAUGGCAACUCAGCCGGGAGCUGGAACUAGAAACUUUCUGUCAAUGUAACAGCCGCGUGGGUGGCGACCCAAUGGUGGUUGGGCUUCGGGUCACGUGACGACUUCUUUGUAGCUCCGGAAGAGAACUGUGAAGUUUAGGUUCCUUGGAAGAAGCGGUAAACGGCCAG